CCUACGGGUGGCAGCAGUGGGGAAUAUUGGGCAAUGGGCGCAAGCCUGACCCAGCAACGCCGCGUGAAGGAAGAAGGCUUUCGGGUUGUAAACUUCUUUUGUCAGGGAAGUGUAGAAGGCGGUACCUGCCGAAUAAGCCACGGCUAAAGACGUGUCAGCAGCCGCGGUAAUACGGAGGUGGCAGGCGUUGUCCGGAUUCACUGGGUGUAAAGGGAGUGUAGGCGGGUUGACAAGUCAGAUGUGAAAUCCUGCGGCUUAACCGCAGAAUUGCAUUUGACACUGUUGAUCUUGAGUACUGGAGAGGCAGAUGGAAUUCCUGGUGUAGCGGUGAAAUGCGUAGAUAUUAGGAGGAACACCAGUGGCGAAGGCGGCCUGCUGGACAGCAACUGACGGUGAGGCGCGAAAGCGUGGGGAGCAAACAGGAUUAGAUACCCGAGUAGUC
Molecule: ribosomal RNA, 442 nt
Filed under: uncultured bacterium
Lineage: Bacteria
Description: partial 16S ribosomal RNA
Rfam family: Bacterial small subunit ribosomal RNA
Source: RNAcentral